RNAcentral lists this ribosomal RNA (1482 nucleotides) under uncultured Bordetella sp. RNAcentral describes it as "partial 16S-23S ribosomal RNA intergenic spacer". It matches the Rfam family "Bacterial small subunit ribosomal RNA". The record is from RNAcentral. Lineage: Bacteria; Pseudomonadati; Pseudomonadota; Betaproteobacteria; Burkholderiales; Alcaligenaceae.
GUUCGACUCCGCCUGAUUGAACGCUGGCGGGAUGCUUUACACAUGCAAGUCGAACGGCAGCACGGACUUCGGUCUGGUGGCGAGUGGCGAACGGGUGAGUAAUGUAUCGGAACGUGCCUAGUAGCGGGGAUAACUAUUGAAAGUAGCUAAUACCGCAUGUCAGUUCUUCUUCGGGGGAAAGCGGGGGACCUUCGGGCCUCGCACUAUUAGAGCGGCUGAUAUCGGAUUAGCUUAGUUGGUGGGGUAACGGCUCACCAAGGCGACGAUCCGUAGCUGGUUUGAGAGGACGACCAGCCACACUGGGACUGGAGACAUUGCCCAGACUCCUACGGGAGGCAGCAGUGGGGAAUUUUGGACAAUGGGGAAACUCCUGGAUCCAUUAUCCGCGUGCGAUGAAGGCCUUCGGGUUGGAAGACUUUGGCAGGAAAGAAAACGGCACGGGAUACUCGUGCAACUGACGGUACUUCCGCAGAAUAAGCACCGGCUAACUACGUGCCAGCAGCCGCGGUAAUACGGUGGGUGCAAGCGUUAAUCGGAAUUAUUGGGCGUAAAGCGUGCGCUGGCGGUUCGGAAAGAAAGAUGUGAACUUCAGAGCUUAACUUGGAACUGCAUUUUUAACUACUGAGCUUAGAGUGUGUCAGAGGGAGGGAAUUCCGCGUGUAGCAGUGAAAUGCGUAGAUAUGCGGAGGAACACCGAUGGCGAAGGUAAGCUUCCGGGAUAACACUGACGCUCAUGCACGAAAGCGUGGGAGCAACAGGAUUAGACUACCCUGUAACCACGCCCUAAACGAUGUCAACUAGCUACAAAUUUCGGGCCUUGGUAGCAGCUUAACGUGAAGUUGACCGCUCGGGAGUACGGUCGCAAGAUUAAAACUCAAAGGAAUUGACGGGGACCCGCACAAGCGGUGGAUGAUGUGGAUUAAUUCGAUGCAACGCGAAAAACCUUACCUACCCUUGACAUGUCUGGAAUCCCGAAGAGAUUUGGGAGUGUCGCAAGAGAACCGGAACACAGGUGCUGCAUGGCUGUCGUCAGCUCGUGUCGAGAUGUUGGGUUAAGUCCCGCAACGAGCGCAACCCUUGUCAUUAUUGCUACGAAAGGGCACUCUAUCGAGACUGCCGGUGACAAACCGGAGGAAGUGGGGGCGACGUCAUCCUCACCACCCACGCAGGGUGCCAGCUUCACACGUCACAAUGGUCGGGACAGAUAUCGCCAGUUCUUGAAGGGAGCUGACCAAGAACCCUGAUCGUAGUCCGGGUGAUCACCCGCAGUCUGCAACUCGACUGCGUGAAGUCGGAAUCGCUAGUAAUCGCGAUCAGCAUGUCGCGGUGAAUACGUUCCCGGGUCUUGUACACACUGCCCGUCACACCAUGGGAGUGGGUUUUACCAGAAGUAGUUAGCCUAACCGUAAGGAGGGCGAUUACCAUGGUAGGAUUCAUGACUGGGGUGAAGUCGUAACAAGGUAGCUCUAGCACGCCUGAUGC